Molecule: ribosomal RNA, 496 nt
Filed under: uncultured bacterium
Lineage: Bacteria
Description: partial 16S ribosomal RNA
Rfam family: Bacterial small subunit ribosomal RNA
Source: RNAcentral
AUGAACGCUGGCGGCGUGCCUAAUACAUGCAAGUCGAGCGAACAGACGAGGAGCUUGCUCCUCUGACGUUAGCGGCGGACGGGUUAGUAACACGUGGAUAACCUACCUAUAAGACUGGGAUAACUUCGGGAAACCGGAGCUAAUACCGGAUAAUAUAUUUAACCGCAUGGUUCAAUAGUGAAAUACGGUUUUGCUGUCACUUAUAGAUGGAUCCGCGCCGCAUUAGCUAGUUGGUAAGGUAACGGCUUACCAAGGCAACGAUGCGUAGCCGACCGGAGAGGGUGAUCGGCGACACUGGAACGGAGACACGGACCAGACUCCUACGGGAGGCAGCAGUAGGGAAUCUUCCGCAAUGGGCGAAAGCGUGACGGAGCAACGCCGCGUGAGUGAUGAAGGUCUUCGGAUCGUAAGACUCUGUUAUUAGGGAAGAACAAAUGUGUAAGUAACUAUGCACGUCUUGACGGUACCUAAUCAGAAAGCCACGGCUAACUACGUG